GCACCGCCCGCCCGCCCCAGGGCCGGGAGCGCUCCCGACCGGUGCCGAGCGGGCUGCACCGGGAGGCGGUGAGAAUUCCAGAGGUGAUGGGGACUGGAGUAGCAGGAUGAGAGAGCAAACAGGCCAGGGCAGCUCUGAGGCACGUCCAAUCCUUCAAACUCAGAACCGGCCCGGAGCUGCGACCCACUGUCCGCGCGCUUUUCCUUGUGUUAAGGAGCUGGUGGCUCCCGGGAGGCUGAAGAUGAAGCUUUUUCCUACGGUUAUUUGUACCAGCAAAACACUGUUGCAAAUGCAAAAUGAGCUUCUGUGGUAUCUGUCACCAGAAAAUUGCCCCGUUUGAGAAUUCAUGAGCAACGGGCCAGCAUGCAUGCUGAGAAGAUAAGGAUCAACAGAUUAUUCCAACAGGAUAUGUCAGCCAGUCUAAAACAUGCAAUGGAUGAAAUUACCUUCACAACAGAAGACAAGGAAGAAAAAUAUCCAUUGCUGUGGACCUCAAAGAAAGUGAAGUAUACACAAAAGUAAACACACCCAGGGCAUGCUGGGGAAAGCAGAGACAUCACAUAAGGGUGUGCAUUUCUUCAGGGCUACAGGAUCAAACCUGAGAAUCAUGGUAAUUUAUCUUCCUGGCCAGUACAUGACCCCACUGCAAUACACAGACUCGGUAUCAUGAUCCUCACAUAGUGCAUAAUUUCUGGCUGAAAUAAAGUGCAUCCUUAAAAAAAGAUCUAGUCUUUUUUAGCCCAAGAGACAAAAAUGGUGGCACAGAGUCAAAUCAUAAGCACACCUGACUGAUUUACCCUCUCCCUGACAGUGGCCAACACUGUCUGCCUAGAAAAAAAUCACUAAAACAGGGUAGACAAAGAGUGCUCCCUCCCUGGCAGCUCUCCUAACACUUACAGAUUUGUAAUUGAGAGACCUGCUGUGCCAGAGGUUUUGGCUUUGUAUUUUAACAGCCUUUGAUAGAUUUCUCUUUUGCAAAUUUCAUCCACUGUAUAGUGACAGUCAUGAAAUUUAAGACCAUGAAGGACUUACUCUACCCACUUACAUUUGACAACUAAUUUCACACUUGCCUCCAAUGAUCUCUGUUACACAAACCAAGUAAAUUGUAGCACAUGGGAAAAGUUACCACUGUAAUUCCACUAGCUACUCACUUUCAGCACUGAAAGCAUGUGCCUGUUUUCCUUUGGAAUUAAAUCUGCUGCAGUCAUGCCUUACAACUAAGGCAUUUAGUUGUCCAUGCCUGGACAACUAAAAACUGCUUUAGCAUCCAGUGUUUUCACUUGGUACACGUACUCACACACCCUAAUCAGAUCACUCACAACUUUCUAAGGGUUCAUAGAACCAUAGGAAGGUUUGGGUUGGGAGGGACUUUUAAAGGCCAUCUAGUCCCACCCCACUAUAGACAAGGACAUUUCCAACUCAUAAUAAUGUCACUCCAAGUCCCGUUCAACCUCGCCUCAGAGACCUCCAUGGAUGAGGUUCUUUGGGCAACCUCUGCCAGUGCUUUCCAGCCUCAUUUUAAAAAUGGUCUUUCAUCUAGUCUGCAUCUACCCUCUUUUAGUUUAAAACUGUUAAACCUGUUUAAAUUACUUUAAACCCAGUUUAAAGUCAUUACCCCUUGUCUUACAAGAGUUCUGCAUCUCGCAUUGUAAAAUACUUCUUACAAUCUUGAGGUAAGUUUUGUGAACCUCAAACGUUCUUCUUUGUUCCCUAGAAGCCUUAGAAAUAGGCUGUGUGCUAUGCCACCAGGGCCCUUCUUGCUGUCUGACAUCAACAGCAUCUGCUUCCCCCAGACUGUCUACCUGUAAAGAUUUGUUAUAUCAUGUCUAAAUCUGUACUUUAUAGGGCUGGGACAGAGCUGGGAUAUUAGUGUCUGAAACAGUGACUCCAAGAAAAAUGAAGCUGCUUGCACUUUAAUGCAGUCAAUUUCCUUACAGACUUACCUUUUUUUAACAUGCAGUCCACUCUGGAGGAGUAAUACACCAUCUUCCCCAAAUGUAAGUUUGCAUUUGACAAAAUGUUCUAAGACAAAAGUCUCUAUGAAGGGCCUUACUCUGCUACACACUCUUCUUCACUAUUAUCCUCUCUUCAUGACUUUUUUGCAUAUUUUUACAUAUCUGAUUUUAUUUGUAGAGAUCUUAUAUUUGUUUCCAAAUAAUCAAUUAAGUGUCAAACAACACUGGCUGGAGAACUGUCCCUCAGAGAAAAACCAGAAUCCCCAGCUUAUGGAUUGGGCAGUUUGCUGGCAGUAUUUCCUGCCUUUCCUUUCCCACAGAGCUGGAUUGUAAAAAUAAAAGAAGAACCAGCUUUCCUCAGCCUUCUCCCAAGAUACAAGAGGCUCUUAAGAAUUUUAAGUUCUGUGUAGCAUUGUAUCAUCAUCUGACAUACCCUGAAACAAGCAGGGACUUGCCAACAGCAUUCCUGGCUUUUGGGUUACAUCCAUCACAUCUCACUAUCCUGUUGCCCAUGAUUCUCUUUCUUCUCUAAUGAGGACUCACUAAUGAUUCUUGCUUGCCCUAUGUAAUUUCAAACCCUUUCCUUUAGCAGAUUGUUUUACAUCCCAGACAUCCUCACCUGUCACAUCCUCUACAGCUCUCAGUGAGCAAUUCCUGCAUCUCUCCCAGCUUAAUGCUCAGGUUGGUGCAUGACACCAGCUGUGUCCCUGUGCAGAUCUGCUGCUUGCUUAGCUUCUUACAGCACCCAGUGUCCUCUGCCAGUGCUUCCAGAUGUGUAAUGUAGAACAAUGAUCCAAGGAAUUCUCCUUGGAUAUUACACUGUACUGAAACCUGCAAUUGCAAGCUCUGUAUCCUUGCUGACACUGGGAAGUUCUUUUUCAUGCACCAGAAUCUCUUUUGCAUUCAAGAUGAGCACACCAUCCCCAAGGUGAGCAGCACUGGAGUUUUCACUCUGUCCAUCUCUGCCGUGGGACGUGAUCCCACCUGGCAGUGGCUGCAUCCCAAGGAGAUGUUAACCUGAGGACACGUAGGCCUGUGCUGCUCACAGAGCAACCGUCAGACCUGGCUUUGCUGCACAAACCCCUCGCCCACCAGACAGUCUCAGCCAGUUCAUCAUACAGAAAUGCCCGUGGGCAGCUCUUGGUCAUGCCCAGCCAUUCUGCCACUCACGUGGCCUGGCUUUUGUCUAACAGUGAGGCAAGAAAUUCUCAUUCAAGCAUCCUUUCUGUGUGACAGCAGGAAUGAGGAACAGAGUCGUUUUCUUGCACUCUUAUAAUGGCUCUAAUUGCAAAAAAGGGAGAACCAGCUCCACAGGUGGGGUCUGCAGAGCACAUUGGGGGUGGAUCAGAGGCCCACUUGGGGCUCCCCACAUCUAAAGGGUAUGAAAUGAUGUACACUAUUCUUUUGUGUUUGCUCCAACACAUUAUAUUUUAAAUAGCAUACUACACAGCCCAAGUCCCUUUCCUACUUGGAUUGUAAUGGAUCAGGACCUCCUCAUGCAGAACAACCCUCGUAAUAAUAAAAGGUUUCCCAGGUAAUUGCCUUUCUCCUCAUUCUCUGAAUGUGUGCUUAGAAGCUGCAUAUAGGCAAAGCUUUAUAAAAUAAGGGCCUUGUUAACCUUGUAAAAUCAUGGCUCAGACCUGCUACUUUGGCUAAGUAGAAGAGGACUGUGGGAAAGUGACUCAUCUGAAUUGGAGGUAGAAAAACAAGUUAUAUAACCAUUACGUGCUCACAUUGUGGUGAAUGCUGGUUAGCUGAAUUACAUUUGCUACGCUAAAAUGGAAUGUAACUGAUAACAGCCCAACUACUUAAAAAGGCCUGGUUUUUGCAAUAAAGGGCUCUCCUUUGCACCUGCCUGGGGACCCUGCAUUGCUCUGCUUCAUUCACUUAGCAACAAGCACACAUCCCCAUAAGGCACUGCAAACAUCUGUGAUCUUCCCAUGUAAAUGUAACUGAGACAUGCCUUACUUAAAUAAGGAAAUCUGAAAUUUCCAUCCAAUUUGAACCAAUGUUCUUGACUUUGAAUACUUCUUUCAAGCUUUUCUAAUUUUUCAGCAUGUCUUUUAUUGCCCACACCAGACAUUCACCUUGCUCACCUCAUGAGAUGAGGGUAGCAAAUACCUCUCUCCUUCAGCAGUGACCCUGCAGCGAUGAACAGGGUCAGUCACGCUUGCCAGCUUAUCACAUAAAUUCACAAGCUCACAUCAGGGCUUUGAUUCCUGGGAUGUUGCUGGAGAAAUGAUGCUGGAAAGCUGAAAAAGCAAAAGGAUUAGUGGGGUCCUGGUGGAUACCUAGCUAAACAUAAACCAGCAGCACUCCCUUGGAACAAAGGUGGCAAACAGCAUCCUGGGCCACAGCAGCAGGCCUGUGGCCAGCAGGUCAAGGACAAUGACCUGUCUCCUCAGCACAAGUGAGACAUGCCAGGAGUGCUGUGUCCAGUCUGGGCUUCCCAAUACAAAACAGACACAGACACACUGGAGUUAGUCCAGUAAAGGGAUGUGGAAAUGUUAAGUAAUGGGACCUGGGACCGUUUUGUCUGGAGAACAGGCUCAGGACAGUGUCAUCUGUGCAUGUGUCAGUAAUGGGAAAGUGUAAGGAAGACAAACAGCUGCUGCUCAGUGGCGUCCUGUGAUGCUGAGAGAAGCAAUGGGCACAAAUUAAAAUGCAAAACAUUUCAUUUAUACAGGAGAAAGAAGUUUUGAACUGUAACUGUUACUAUCCACUCUACUGCUGGGAGUCUCCAUCCCCAAGAUAUUUAAACUGGAACCACUCUGCACCUCUGAAGAGCCAAAACCACCAAAGUGAAAGCAGUUGAAUAGCUUUGUCUAGCUAACCCAGACAAGCUGUGUUUAUGCCUCUUGAAAAAGUGAAAUGCAUAAACACACAGAAGGGUACAGCAACAGCCCUGAGAAUAGCACAGUCAA
This is a long non-coding RNA of Motacilla alba alba, 4879 nucleotides long. RefSeq lists it as uncharacterized. The record is from RefSeq and is a predicted model, not a curated record. The transcript has 3 exons. Lineage: Eukaryota; Metazoa; Chordata; Aves; Passeriformes; Motacillidae.